AGUGAACGCUGGCGGUAGGCCUAACACAUGCCAGUCGAACGGCAGCACAGUAAGAGCUUGCUCUUACGGGUGGCGAGUGGCGGACGGGUGAGGAAUACAUCGGAAUCUACUUUUUCGUGGGGGAUAACGUAGGGAAACUUACGCUAAUACCGCAUACGACCUACGGGUGAAAGCAGGGGAUCUUCGGACCUUGCGCGAUUGAAUGAGCCGAUGUCGGAUUAGCUAGUUGGCGGGGUAAAGGCCCACCAAGGCGACGAUCCGUAGCUGGUCUGAAAGGAUGAUCAGCCACACUGGAACUGAGACACGGUCCAGACUCCUACGGGAGGCAGCAGUGGGGAAUAUUGGACAAUGGGCGCAAGCCUGAUCCAGCCAUACCGCGUGGGUGAAGAAGGCCUUCGGGUUGUAAAGCCCUUUUGUUGGGAAAGAAAAGCAGCAGGUUAAUACCCCGCUGUUCUGACGGUACCCAAAGAAUAAGCACCGGCUAACUUCGU
RNAcentral lists this ribosomal RNA (491 nucleotides) under uncultured bacterium. RNAcentral describes it as "partial 16S ribosomal RNA". It matches the Rfam family "Bacterial small subunit ribosomal RNA", at positions 29 to 506 of the family's 1533-position model. The record is from RNAcentral.